UACGAAGGGGGCUAGCGUUGCUCGGAAUCACUGGGCGUAAAGGGUGCGUAGGCGGGUCUUUAAGUCAGAGGUGAAAUCCCGGAGCUCAACUCCAGAACUGCCUUUGAUACUGAGGAUCUUGAGUUCGGGAGAGGUGAGUGGAACUGCGAGUGUAGAGGUGAAAUUCGUAGAUAUUCGCAAGAACACCAGUGGCGAAGGCGGCUCACUGGCCCGGUACUGACGCUGAGGUGCGAAAGCGUGGGGAGCAAACAGG
Molecule: ribosomal RNA, 253 nt
Filed under: uncultured bacterium
Lineage: Bacteria
Description: partial 16S ribosomal RNA
Rfam family: Bacterial small subunit ribosomal RNA
Source: RNAcentral